RNAcentral lists this ribosomal RNA (472 nucleotides) under uncultured bacterium. RNAcentral's name for it is "bacterial SSU rRNA". It matches the Rfam family "Bacterial small subunit ribosomal RNA", at positions 28 to 498 of the family's 1533-position model. The record is from RNAcentral.
GACGAACGCUGGCGGCGUGCCUAACACAUGCAAGUCGAGCGGGGAUUAUCGAAUGAAGUUUUCGGAUGGAUUUUGGUAAUUCUAGCGGCGGACGGGUGAGUAACGCGUGAGCAACCUGCCUUUCACAGGGGGAUAACGCAUCGAAAGGUGCACUAAUACCGCAUGAGACCACGCUCCCGACAUGAGAGAGGGGUCAAAGGAGCAAUCCGGUGAGAGAUGGGCUCGCGUCUGAUUAGCUAGUUGGUGAGGUAACGGCCCACCAAGGCGACGAUCAGUAGCCGACCUGAGAGGGUGAUCGGCCACAUUGGAACUGAGAGACGGUCCAAACUCCUACGGGAGGCAGCAGUGGGGAAUAUUGGGCAAUGGGGGAAACCCUGACCCAGCAACGCCGCGUGAAGGAAGAAGGUUUUCGGAUCGUAAACUUCUAUCCUUGGUGAAAAUAGUGAUGGUAGCCAAGAAGGAAGCCCCGGCU